CUCUUCCACACUAAGUCCUGACCCUCAGAUGACCCCCGAGUGAAACAUGCCACACAGGACUGUCCUCAACCAUGGUUUCUGACACUGAGGAAGCCUCGAGGGCCUUCAACGGAGACAUUGUGCCCAGAGGUCAAGAAGAGUCAGCAAUGCACAGCAUCACAGUCAGAGUCAAAGCAGCGAUCGGCCGGCUGCUUGUCAGUCAUGUCUUACUGAGCCAGACGAACCGCAAUCAGGAACAGAAUGAGUCACAGAGAGAGGCGCAGGCACAGAGAGCUUAAACAGUACAAACGCUCUGCAGAAUAAAAGCCAAGAACACAGUUUCAAGAUUUUUGGCUGCCAGUCUACAACCAAUGGCCAACCAUCGGAGUUAAAAAAUGGAGCCGAAGCAAAACUGGAAAAACUGCAGUUCCUUUAGGCAUCGGCAGGCUCCACAGCUUCAUGACAAACAUGUC
This is a long non-coding RNA of Archocentrus centrarchus (flier cichlid), 452 nucleotides long. RefSeq lists it as uncharacterized. The record is from RefSeq and is a predicted model, not a curated record. NCBI's taxonomy places the organism in Eukaryota, Metazoa, Chordata, Actinopteri, Cichliformes, Cichlidae. The transcript is spliced from 4 exons.